Molecule: transfer RNA, 83 nt
Filed under: Serpula lacrymans var. lacrymans S7.3
Lineage: Eukaryota; Fungi; Basidiomycota; Agaricomycetes; Boletales; Serpulaceae
Rfam family: tRNA
About the family: Transfer RNA (tRNA) molecules are approximately 80 nucleotides in length. Their secondary structure includes four short double-helical elements and three loops (D, anti-codon, and T loops). Further hydrogen bonds mediate the characteristic L-shaped molecular structure. tRNAs have two regions of fundamental functional importance: the anti-codon, which is responsible for specific mRNA codon recognition, and the 3' end, to which the tRNAs corresponding amino acid is attached (by aminoacyl-tRNA synthetases). tRNAs cope with the degeneracy of the genetic code in two manners: having more than one tRNA (with a specific anti-codon) for a particular amino acid; and 'wobble' base-pairing, i.e. permitting non-standard base-pairing at the 3rd anti-codon position.
Source: Rfam by way of RNAcentral
GCCGGGAUAGCUCAGCUGGGAGAGCAACAGACUGAAGAAAUCGUGCUUUCUGGAGGUCCCGUGUUCAAUCCACGGUCCUGGCA